Molecule: ribosomal RNA, 477 nt
Filed under: uncultured bacterium
Lineage: Bacteria
Description: bacterial SSU rRNA
Rfam family: Bacterial small subunit ribosomal RNA
Source: RNAcentral
AUUGAACGCUGGCGGCAUGCCUUACACAUGCAAGUCGAACGGCAGCACGGACUUCGGUCUGGUGGCGAGUGGCGAACGGGUGAGUAAUGUAUCAGAACGUACCUUUCAGUGGGGGAUAACGUAGCGAAAGUUACGCUAAUACCGCAUAUUCUGUGAGCAGGAAAGCAGGGGAUCGCAAGACCUUGCGCUGAUUGAGCGGCCGAUAUCAGAUUAGCUAGUUGGUGGGGUAAAGGCCUACCAAGGCUACGAUCUGUAGCGGGUCUGAGAGGAUGAUCCGCCACACUGGAACUGAGACACGGUCCAGACUCCUACGGGAGGCAGCAGUGGGGAAUUUUGGACAAUGGGCGAAAGCCUGAUCCAGCCAUGCCGCGUGAAGGAUGAAGGCGCUCUGCGUUGUAAACUUCUUUUGGAUGGGAAUAAUAAUCAAGACUUGUCUUGACUUGAAGGUACCAUCAGAAUAAGCACCGGCUAACUCCG